Mandrillus leucophaeus (drill) is the source of this 1449-nucleotide RNA transcript. It is a transcript of the gene named eukaryotic translation initiation factor 2-alpha kinase 1 pseudogene, with no coding region annotated. The transcript has a single exon. The record is from RefSeq and is a predicted model, not a curated record. NCBI's taxonomy places the organism in Eukaryota, Metazoa, Chordata, Mammalia, Primates, Cercopithecidae.
UCCUGCUUAUUUCUUUGGUGAAGCACUUGAGCCAUGUGCAUGAACCAAACCCAGUUCAUUUAAGACAGGUGUUUAAGUUACUUUGCCAGAUCUUUAUCCUAAUGGGUCUGCUGUGUUCUUUCACUUGUGACGAGUUUAGCUCAUUGAGACUACAUCACCACAGAGCUAUUACUCACUUAAUGAAGUCCACUAAAGAGAGAGUUCAUCAGGAUCCUUGUGAGGCUAUUUCUCAUAUCCAGAAAAAUCAGAUCAAGGGAAGUAGCCUUUGAAGCACAAACUUCAUGUUACUUAAAUGAAUUUGAAAAACUUGCCAUCUUAGGAAAAGGUGGAUAUGGAAGAGUAUACAAGGUCAGGAAUAAAUUAGAUGGUCAGUAUUAUGCAAUUUAAAAAAUCCUGAUUAAGGGUGCAACUAAGAUUGCAUGAAGGAACUAUGAGGAAUGAAGGUGCUGGCAGUCCAGCACCCUAAUAUCAUUGGUUAUCACACUGCGUGGACAGAACAUGUUCAAGUGAUCCAACCACAAGCAGAUAGAGCUUCCAUUCAGUUGCCAUUUCUGGAAGUGUUCUCCGACCAAGCAGAGGACAGAUACCAAUAUGGUGUUAAAAAUGGUGAAAGUAGCAGGUCAUCCAUUAUCUUCACUAAGCUCACCUCAGAAAAGAAAAACCCUUUGGAGAAUCUGACACUCAAAAUCAGAAUAACAAGCUGGUGAACUAUACCAUCAAUUCCAUCUUAAGAGACACCAGUGAAUUUGAAUCAUCCCUGGAGCUCCCGGAAAAUGGCUUGGCGGGUUUGUCCACCAGGUCAGUUGUGGAACAGCCCCUGCUGCUCAGCUGUAAUUCCCUCCAAGAGGAGAAUUUCACAUCCACUGAGGAAUCUUCCAAAGAAAACUUCAACUUGUUGGGGAUAGAGGUGCAGUACCACCUGAUGCUGCACAUCCAGAUGCAGGUGUGCAACUCCACCUGUGGGACUGGCUAGCCGAGAGAAACAAACAGGGCCAAGAGUGUGUGGAUAAGUUUGCUUGUCCUUAUGGCCAGUGUUGCAACAAAAAAUUUUCAAGAAUUAGUGGAAGGUGUGUUUUACAUACAUAACAUGGGAAUUGUAAACAGAGAUCUGAAGCCUAGAAAUACUUUUCUUCAUGGCUCUGAUCAGCAAGUAAAAAUAGGAGACUUUGGUCUGGCUUGCCCAGACAUCUUACAAAAGAACACAGACUGGACCAAUAGAAACGGAAAGAGAACACCAACACAUAUAUCCAGAGUGGGCACUUUUCUGUAUGCUUCAUCCCAACAGUUGGAAGGAUCUGAGUAUGAUGCCAAGGGUCUCAUUCUUGCCCAGGCUGGAGUGCAGUGGGGUCAUCAUAGCUCACAGCAGCCUCCAACUCCUGGGGUCAAGUGAUCCUCCCACCUCAGCCUCCCAAGUAGUUGGGACUACAGCAGUGUGCCACUGUACCCGGC